AGGCCUCCUUCGGGAUUUGAACCCGGGACCUCUCGCACCCAAAGCGAGAAUCAUACCUCUAAACCAACGAGCC
RNAcentral lists this transfer RNA (73 nucleotides) under Cordylochernes scorpioides. Its description in RNAcentral is "tRNA-Pro". Lineage: Eukaryota; Metazoa; Arthropoda; Arachnida; Pseudoscorpiones; Chernetidae. The record is from RNAcentral.